Molecule: ribosomal RNA, 522 nt
Filed under: Carabus planatus planatus
Lineage: Eukaryota; Metazoa; Arthropoda; Insecta; Coleoptera; Carabidae
Description: partial 16S ribosomal RNA
Rfam family: Bacterial large subunit ribosomal RNA
Source: RNAcentral
GUCCUUUUGGAUUUUUAUUUAAGGUCUAGUCUGCCCACUGAAUUUAUAUUUUAAAUGGCCGCAGUAUUUUGACUGUGCAAAGGUAGCAUAAUCAUUAGUUUUUUAAUUAAAAGCUUGUAUGAAAGGCUGGACGAGGUAAAAUCUGUCUCUAUUUAAAUUAUAGUAGAAUUUAACUUUUAAGUUAAAAGGCUUAAAUAUUAUUAAAAGACGAGAAGACCCUAUAGAUCUUUAUAAUUUAUUAAAUAAAAUUUAUUUAGAAUUAUUUAUAUUUUAUUUAAUUGAAUUAUUUAAUUGGGGUAAUUGAAAGAUUAAAUUAAUUCUUUUUUAUAAUAAACAUUGAUUUAUGAAUAUUAAAUGAUCCAGUUUUACUGAUUAUAAGAUUAAGUUACCUUAGGGAUAACAGCGUAAUUUUUUUAGAGAGUUCAUAUCGAUAAAAAAGUUUGCGACCUCGAUGUUGGAUUAAAGAUUAUUUUAGGUGUAGAAGCUUAAUAAUUUUGGUCUGUUCGACCAUUAAAUCUUUAC